RNAcentral lists this long non-coding RNA (1405 nucleotides) under Gossypium barbadense (sea-island cotton). RNAcentral describes it as "long non-coding RNA (GBAR_LNC007882)". The record is from RNAcentral. Lineage: Eukaryota; Viridiplantae; Streptophyta; Magnoliopsida; Malvales; Malvaceae.
CAGAUGAAAAAAAAGUCAAAUUAGCAUCUUCAUUUAUUAAUUUGAACGACUUUAAAGUUGCUGAGUUAAUUGAUUCAAGUAGCAAAACAUGGAAAAAUGAGUUGAUAGAGUCUACCUUUCCAGAGGAAGUAGCCGAGAAGAUUCUUCGCAUUCCGUUGGCAGAGGAACCUCAUGAAGAUUUUUGAGCUUGGAAUGGUGAGCCAUCGAGAGAGUACACAGUGGGUAGUGCCUAUAAACUAUUACAAAGUAACGAAGAUGAUCUUAGAGCUUACGCUUUACAAACCGACUAUAAGGAAUUUUAUAAAAAAACUAUGGCUUCUCAAUCUACCUCCAAAAAUAAAAAUUACAGUUUGGAAAAUAUCGUGGAACUAUCUACCCAGACGAGUUAACAUGUUACAAAGGAAGUUAUUGAAUACUACAAUAUACCCCCGGUGUGAAAGUGGAACAUAGAAUCUAGACCAUCUAUUCCGUGAAUGUCCUGUUUCAAUUUUAGUAUGAAAAGAGUUAUCAUGCUAGAUUUUUUUACAAGAAACUCACUAGGGGUUUUUACAGUGGCUAACCUGGUUAUUUUUGCAGAGCUCUCCAUUCUAGUGUAGGAUUCUUUGCUGUGCAUUAUGGGCAAUCUGGGGAGACAGAAACGCUAAAGUGCAUAAGAAGGCUAGUAAAUCUGGAAAAGAAAUAGCGAGUUUCGUUAAAAGUUACAUAUCAGAGCUGAAUGAGAUUGAUAAAAGAAAACCACAAAUCCCUAUUGCUGUUAGAAAGUGAAGGCACCCACCUGACCAGAUUGUGAAGAUUAAUUUUGAUGCAGCAUAUGACGGGAGAAUGGUCAAUCGACAGUGGGGAUAGUGGCUAGAAACAGUGAAGGAAAUGUUCUGUUAUCGUGUUUAGAGAUCCAUCAAAGAGUUGCAUAACUUUCGCUGUUGAAGCACUCGCGUGCCUGAAAGCGACUCAGAUCGGUAUUGAAAUGCAAUGGGAAAAAACCAUCAUUGAAGUAGAUUCGUUAUCAAUAAUAAAAAAGUGUAAAGGGAAAAGCUCAGAUAAAUCUUUGGUAGGUGCUUAUAUCCAUGAUAUUCAUCAGUUACUAUUAAAAACUCGGCAAUGCCGAUUUGAAUAUAUCCCAAGAACAGAAAACAACUUAGCGUAUAUUUUAACAAAUGAAACGUUGAGGAACAAGAAGGAAUCCUACCUGAUAGGAAGCGUUCCAGAAUCUGCAGCGGAGCAAGAGGAAAGGGAUAAGGUGAGAGAACCAAAUUGAAGUUUCGAAGAAGAAAAUAAAAUGGGGGAGUUUGAAAAGGGAUAUGAAUGGAUUUGAUGGAAAACACCCCAUUGGGAAUAUGGAAGCGUCUUAAUGAAGAAAUCUCAGAUGAAGAGACAAGACGGCAACAGAGCAGUUUUUAGAUUGGCA